Non-coding RNA from Erythranthe guttata (spotted monkey flower), 598 nucleotides. The record is from RefSeq and is a predicted model, not a curated record. Lineage: Eukaryota; Viridiplantae; Streptophyta; Magnoliopsida; Lamiales; Phrymaceae.
GUCAAUACUUGUUCAGCUUGAUGCAUGUGCUUUUGUUUGUUGUCUUUCUGGAAUGAAAAUUCAGUACGAGUCAUUUGAGCAACAGAUGUUUUGUUCUAUUAAAUAUCUCGGUAUAUUUAUCUUAUCAAGUUCAAUUGAAUUUAUUUCAGUAAACUUUUGCUAAUUUCUGAUGUUUUUAUGUGUGCAAUGCAAAAGAACCAGCAGCUGACGGGGGAGUAGGAACAAGACAUAUUACGUUGUCCAGGCAUAUUACGUUGUCCUUGUCCAGUUACAGAGAUUUGGAAAUUGUCUGCUUUGCAGAAUGGUCCAUUACAAGACAAAUUCCUGCAGUACCCCUUCACUAACUUCGUAGCUAAAAAAGGCCACAGAUGUAUUUAUUUGUUUAUUUCAAUCGUUAGGCUACUGUUUUCGUAAGUGUAGCUAUUACCUACCGUUAAUGUCAUAUACAAUGGCGGCCUUCAUUGACAAAAAUAGAGUUUAGCGUAAACGAUGUAGCUUAUUUCUCGUCCUUUUACAAUUUAUACCAAGCAAUUUUGGUACUGUAAAAUUGUCUUUAUUUCUUAAAACUCCCCAACACAUUUGGAGUUUUUCUCUGUUA